AGUGAACGCUGGCGGUAGGCCUAACACAUGCAAGUCGAACGGCAGCACAGUAAGAGCUUGCUCUUACGGGUGGCGAGUGGCGGACGGGUGAGGAAUACAUCGGAAUCUACUUUUUCGUGGGGGAUAACGUAGGGAAACUUACGCUAAUACCGCAUACGACCUACGGGUGAAAGCAGGGGAUCUUCGGACCUUGCGCGAUUGAAUGAGCCGAUGUCGGAUUAGCUAGUUGGCGGGGUAAAGGCCCACCAAGGCGACGAUCCGUAGCUGGUCUGAGAGGAUGGUCAGCCACACUGGAACUGGGACACGGUCCAGGCUCCUACGGGAGGCAGCAGUGGGGAAUAUUGGACAAUGGGCGGAAGCCUGAUCCAGCCAUACCGCGUGGGUGAAGAAGGCCUUCGGGUUGUAAAGCCCUUUUGUUGGGAAAGAAAAGCAGCAGGUUAAUACCCCGCUGUUCUGACGGUACCCAAAGAAUAAGCACCGGCUAACUUCGUG
This 492-nucleotide ribosomal RNA is filed under the name uncultured bacterium. RNAcentral's name for it is "partial 16S ribosomal RNA". It matches the Rfam family "Bacterial small subunit ribosomal RNA", at positions 29 to 507 of the family's 1533-position model. The record is from RNAcentral.